UUGGCUAGUGCAAGGAUGCUGCCGUGGGCAAGAGCAAACCUCAACCACUCAGCUCAAGCACUCAUUAUCUCAACAGUCGCUGGAGCAGCUUAUUUCAUAGUUGCUGACAAGACUAUCUUGGCCACGGCUAGGCAGAACUCCUUCAAGUAAGUCUCCAACAUUGACGGGUGAACUGAAAAAA
Long non-coding RNA from Eucalyptus grandis, 181 nucleotides. RefSeq lists it as uncharacterized. Lineage: Eukaryota; Viridiplantae; Streptophyta; Magnoliopsida; Myrtales; Myrtaceae. The transcript is spliced from 2 exons. The record is from RefSeq and is a predicted model, not a curated record.